RNAcentral lists this ribosomal RNA (622 nucleotides) under uncultured Verrucomicrobiota bacterium. RNAcentral's name for it is "bacterial SSU rRNA". It matches the Rfam family "Bacterial small subunit ribosomal RNA", at positions 75 to 680 of the family's 1533-position model. Lineage: Bacteria; Pseudomonadati; Verrucomicrobiota. The record is from RNAcentral.
UGUAGCAAUACGAUGGAAAGUUUAGUGGCGAACGGGUGCUUAACACGUGGGCAACCUGCCGAGAAGUGGGGGAUAGCUCGCCGAAAGGCGAAUUAAUACCGCAUGUGAUUAGAGUGGACAUCCAUUCGAAAUUAAAGUCGGGGCAACCUGACGCUUUUUGUGGGGCCCGCGGCCUACCAGCUAGUUGGUGAGGUAACGGCCCACCAAGGCUUUGACGGGUAGCUGGUCUGAGAGGACGACCAGCCACACUGGGACUGAGACACGGCCCAGACACCUACGGGUGGCAGCACUCGAGAAUUUUUGACAAUGGGGGAAACCCUGAUCGAGCGACGCCGCGUGGAGGAUGAAGGUCUUCGGAUUGUAAACUCCUGUCAUUGGGGAACAAUGCGUGACGGUUAACUGCCGUUGCGUUGAUAGUACCCGAAGAGGAAGAGACGGCUAACUCUGUGCCAGCAGCCGCGGUAAUACAGAGGUCUCAAGCGUUGUUCGGAUUCAUUGGGCGUAAAGGGUGCGUAGGCGGCGCGGUAAGUCGGGUGUGAAAUCUCGGAGCUUAACUCCGAAACUGCAUUCGAUACUGCCGUGCUUGAGGACUGGAGAGGAGACUGGAAUUCACGGUGUAGCA